UUACGGCCAUAUCAAGUUGAAACACCGGCUCUCAUCCGGUCACCGAGCUUAAGCAACGUUGAACCUGGUCAGUACUAAGAUGGGUGACCACUUGGGAAUACGAGGUACUGUAAG
Non-coding RNA from Acanthosepion pharaonis, 114 nucleotides. The record is from the annotation of a GenBank genome assembly. NCBI's taxonomy places the organism in Eukaryota, Metazoa, Mollusca, Cephalopoda, Sepiida, Sepiidae.